GAGGCUCUGAUGCUGAUCAGUAAUGUCAUUGAUUUCUAGGUGUUACCUAUGUCAUUUUAAAAACAUAAAUUUUUUCAGAACGUAGUUGACUUAGAAAGUUGUGUUGGUUUCAGGUGUACAGCCAGGUAAAUCUGUAACACAUACAUAUGUCUGUUCCUUUUCAGAUUCUUUUUCCGCAUAGGUCAUUACACUGUAUUGAGUAGAUUACUCUGCAAGUACAGUAGGUCCUUGUUACCUAUUUUAUAUAUAGCAGUAUGUGUAUGUCAGUCCCAACCCCCUCACUCAUCCUCCUGCCCCACAUUUCCCCUUUGGUAACCAUAAAAUUGGUUUCAAAAUCUUGGAGUCUGUUUCUGUUUUGUAAGUUCUCUUGCAUCAUUUUUUUUUGUUGUUGUUAGAUUUCACAUAUUAGUGAUCUAUAUUUGUCUUUUUCUGUCAUUUUAAUUUCUUCCUGUUACCAGGUGCCUUUGUACCUAAGAGACAGUCAUGAACAGAAUUUGCAAUGGAAAUACACUGGAGGAAACACACUGGAGGAAAAUACACAUUCUCUGAAAUUUGAAGCCAAAGAAAAGCUUCCAGAGAAAGAAAAUGAGAAAGUCUCAAGAAUUAAAUGGAGUUGUCAUAAAAAAAGAGAGAAGGGCAGAAAGAGAGACAUUCUGCAAGUACAAGAAACUAAACCCUGGUAGGAAAAGGUUAAGAUCUCAAGGAAGACAAGACUUGGGCCAAGGCAGAUUGAGGGGAGAUGUCAAUACUCAGAGAAACCACAGCCACAGAAUUAUAAGGACUUGAAGAUAUGACUUUGUAUGACAUUUACCUGGAUUUACCCUUCUGUCAAAGUGACUGCAGUGAUCUGAUUUCACAAAGGUAAGGUUGAUCCGUGUUACAUCCUAAGUCAUAGUAAAGUGAGAGGAAGGAGAAAC
This 917-nucleotide long non-coding RNA is filed under the name Sus scrofa (pig). Its description in RNAcentral is "lncRNA (ENSSSCG00070007201.1)". Lineage: Eukaryota; Metazoa; Chordata; Mammalia; Artiodactyla; Suidae. The record is from RNAcentral.